ACAAAGCUGGACGGGCCCGCUGUCCAACUUUUACCAUCUGUUUUAAAUACUGUGGGAAAUGAUGUGACCAAAAUGACAUUAAACACACCCAUUCCAAACGUCUCCUCAUUGUGGACGUUUAUCUCCUCGUCCUCCUCAGCCAUGGCCUGCAGGAGCCCGCAGUCCAUGUUGGUCACGUCCUCCCCAUCGCUCCACUCACCUCCAUUCUCAGGCCACUGGGGCUCACACGCUUUUUCGGACUCCUGGGCGGAUGGAGACAACGUGGGGCCGACGUGUGACGGUGACUUUCACCGCGGGGCUACCUGCUUUCUCUCGUCAGACAGCGGGGGAGGCUCAUCAACUUUUAAAUGAACUCACCUGUGCGGUGCAGCGGCGUGCUCACGUCAACGCGCUUGCACGUAGCUGUCAUCUCGCCUCGACCGUGGGCUGCAGUUCGUGAAUAUUUCGUUGGGCUUACGAUUGGAUGAACCAUUGAGUUAAAACCCCGCCGCCGUUAUUUUUUAAAAUCCCGGACACGCUCAGGAUGCUGCCUUUGAUUCUGAUGCGGUUAUAAAUGCUCCGGUCCCUUUUUCGGAGCAGCAGUGGGCGAAGAGUGACAUCUAGUGGAGAAACUGCAUUUUCAGGCCGCAGACGAAGUUCGGAUUCACUGUUAUUUUGGGGGAAACUUACUUACAACCCAAGAAUUUACACCACAUGUAUGGAAUAAUUGAUUUGUUCUACACAGGG
Long non-coding RNA from Xiphias gladius (swordfish), 726 nucleotides. RefSeq lists it as uncharacterized. The record is from RefSeq and is a predicted model, not a curated record. NCBI's taxonomy places the organism in Eukaryota, Metazoa, Chordata, Actinopteri, Istiophoriformes, Xiphiidae. The transcript is spliced from 2 exons.